Molecule: ribosomal RNA, 654 nt
Filed under: Triticum aestivum (bread wheat)
Lineage: Eukaryota; Viridiplantae; Streptophyta; Magnoliopsida; Poales; Poaceae
Description: partial small subunit ribosomal RNA
Source: RNAcentral
AUGAAGAGAACCAUUGCUGCCGUCCUGCUAGUGCUUUCCCUCGGGGCCCUCGUCGCUGCCAUCGCCGACGACCAUGUAGACACCAUUCGUCUUCCGAGCAACGGUCUUGCUGAUGAAGUAGCGACGGCGGCUACGGAGAAGAAGAGGCCGUGGAAGUGCUGCGACAGCCCGUUGUGCAGCAGGUCCAUCCCGCCGCGGUGCCGCUGCAUGGACGCGGUGGAGCAGUGCGACGAGGCCUGCACCCGGUGCGAGGCGUCCCAGUCCGACCCUUCCAAGCGGAUGUGCAACGACCGGUACCAUGGCUGGCCCGGGCCAAACUGCACCGAGCCCGACGCCGACGACAUCCCAAGUGGUACUGGUCCAGGAGUUUCUGGUCCGCCGGUCGUUGGUCAGGAAGCGACGGCGGUGAUGGCAACGGAGACGUCUGUUAGCGAGGAGAGCGCCGCCGUCGGCGAGGAGAAGCCGAGGCCAUGGAAAUGCUGUGACCACCCCCUGUGCACGAGGUCUUCCCCGCCUACCUGCUUCUGCCACGACAAGGUGAAGAAGUGCGCCAAGACCUGCAAGAAGUGCCUCAAGGACGAGUCGGGCUCUUCCCUCCGCGUGUGCGGCGACCGGUACUUCGGCUGGGCCGGGCCCAGGUGCCACGAGAUCUAG